This 468-nucleotide ribosomal RNA is filed under the name uncultured bacterium. Its description in RNAcentral is "partial 16S ribosomal RNA". It matches the Rfam family "Bacterial small subunit ribosomal RNA", at positions 28 to 507 of the family's 1533-position model. The record is from RNAcentral.
GACGAACGCUGGCGGCGUGCUUAACACAUGCAAGUCGAACGGAAAGGCCCUGCUUUUGUGGGGUGCUCGAGUGGCGAACGGGUGAGUAACACGUGAGUAACCUGCCCUUGACUUUGGGAUAACUUCAGGAAACUGGGGCUAAUACCGGAUAGGAGCUCCUGCUGCAUGGGGGGGGUUGGAAAGUUUCGGCGGUUGGGGAUGGACUCGCGGCUUAUCAGCUGGUUGGGGGGGUAGUGGCUUACCAAGGCUUUGGCGGGUGGCCGGCCUGAGAGGGUGACCGGCCACAUUGGGCCUGCGAUACGCCCCAGACUCCUACGGGAGGCAGCAGUGGGGAAUAUUGCACAAUGGGCCGACGCCUGAUGCAGCAACGCCGCGUGCGGGAUGACGGCCUUCGGGUUGUAAACCGCUUUCGCCUGUGACGAAGCGUGAGUGACGGUAAUGGGUAAAGAAGCACCGGCUAACUACGUG